Molecule: ribosomal RNA, 522 nt
Filed under: Oceanobacillus sp. V1-49
Lineage: Bacteria; Bacillati; Bacillota; Bacilli; Caryophanales; Bacillaceae
Description: bacterial SSU rRNA
Rfam family: Bacterial small subunit ribosomal RNA
Source: RNAcentral
CUUAGAGUUUGAUCCAUGGCUCAGGACGAACGCUGGCGGCGUGCCUAAUACAUGCAAGUCGAGCGCAGGAAAUAAACAGAACCCUUCGGGGUGAUGUUUAUGGAAUGAGCGGCGGACGGGUGAGUAACACGUGGGCAACCUGCCUGUAAGAUCGGGAUAACUCGCGGAAACGUGAGCUAAUACCGGAUAACACUUUUCAUCUCAUGGUGAGAAGAUAAAAGACGGUUUCGGCUGUCCACUUACAGAUGGGCCCGCGGCGCAUUAGCUAGUUGGUGAGGUAACGGCUCACCAAGGCGACGAUGCGUAGCCGACCUGAGAGGGUGAUCGGCCACACUGGGACUGAGACACGGCCCAGACUCCUACGGGAGGCAGCAGUAGGGAAUCUUCCGCAAUGGACGAAAGUCUGACGGAGCAACGCCGCGUGAGUGAUGAAGGUUUUCGGAUCGUAAAACUCUGUUGUUAGGGAAGAACAAGCUGGGUAGUAACUGACCCAACCUGACGUACCUAACCAGAAAGCCACGG